AACGAACGCUGGCGGCAGGCUUAACACAUGCAAGUCGAACGCCCCGCAAGGGGAGUGGCAGACGGGUGAGUAACGCGUGGGAAUCUACCCAGUUCUACGGAACAACUGAGGGAAACUUCAGCUAAUACAGUAUACGCCCUACGGGGGAAAGAUCUAUCGGAAUUGGAUGAGCCCGCGUUGGAUUAGCUAGUUGGUGAGGUAACGGCUCACCAAGACGACGAUCCAUAGCUGGUCUGAGAGGAUGAUCAGCCACACUGGGACUGAGACACGGCCCGGCCUCCUACGGGAGGCAGCAGUGGGGAAUAUUGGACAAUGGGCGCAAGCCUGAUCCAGCCAUGCCGCGUGAGUGAUGAAGGCCUUAGGGUUGUAAAGCUCUUUCAGUGGGGACGAUAAUGACGGUACCCACAGAAGAAGCCCCGGCUAACUUCGUGCCAGCAGCCGCCGUAA
RNAcentral lists this ribosomal RNA (447 nucleotides) under uncultured bacterium. RNAcentral's name for it is "partial 16S ribosomal RNA". It matches the Rfam family "Bacterial small subunit ribosomal RNA", at positions 29 to 523 of the family's 1533-position model. The record is from RNAcentral.